AUUGAACGCUGGCGGCAUGCCUUACACAUGCAAGUCGAACGGUAACAGGUCUUCGGAUGCUGACGAGUGGCGAACGGGCGAGUAAUACAUCGGAACGUGCCCGAUCGUGGGGGAUAACGAAGCGAAAGCUUUGCUAAUACCGCAUACGAUCUACGGAUGAAAGCAGGGGACCGCAAGGCCUUGCGCGAACGGAGCGGCCGAUGGCAGAUUAGGUAGUUGGUGGGAUAAAAGCUUACCAAGCCGACGAUCUGUAGCUGGACUGAGAGGACGACCAGCCACACUGGGACUGAGACACGGCCCAGACUCCUACGGGAGGCAGCAGUGGGGAAUUUUGGACAAUGGGCGAAAGCCUGAUCCAGUCAUGCCGCGUGCAGGAUGAAGGCCUUCGGGUUGUAAACUGCUUUUGUACGGAACGAAAAGACUCUGGUUAAUACCUGGGGUCCAUGACGGUACCGUAAGAAUAAGCACCGGCUAACUACGUG
Molecule: ribosomal RNA, 482 nt
Filed under: uncultured bacterium
Lineage: Bacteria
Description: partial 16S ribosomal RNA
Rfam family: Bacterial small subunit ribosomal RNA
Source: RNAcentral